This 251-nucleotide ribosomal RNA is filed under the name uncultured prokaryote. Its description in RNAcentral is "partial 16S rRNA". It matches the Rfam family "Bacterial small subunit ribosomal RNA", at positions 525 to 775 of the family's 1533-position model. The record is from RNAcentral.
ACGGAGGGUGCAAGCGUUAUUCGGAAUUACUGGGCUUAAAGCGCGUGCAGGCGGAAAAGCAAGUCUGAGGUGAAAGCCCGCGGCUUAACCGUGGAAUUGCCAUUGAUACUGUCUUUCUUGAGUAUGGUAGAGGCAGGGGGAAUGUGCAGUGUAGCGGUGAAAUUCGUAGAUAUCACGCGGAACACCAGUGGCGAAGGCGCCUUGCUGGACCGUAACUGACGCUGAUGCGCGAAAGCGUGGGGAUCAAACAG